UCGCGAAUGGCUCAUUACAACAGCUAUAAUUUACUUGAUCUUGACACAAUCCUACUUGGAUAACUGUGGUAAUUCUAGAGCUAAUACAUGCAUUAAAGCUCUGACCUCACGGGAAGAGUGCAUUUAUUAGAACAAAACCAAGCGGCUUCGGCUGUUUCUGGUUGACUCAUAGUAACUGAGCUGAUCGCAUGGUCUUGCACCGGCGACGUGUCUUUCAAGUAUCUGCCGUAUCAACUUUCGAUGGUAGUGUAUCUGACUACCAUGGUGAUCACGCGUAACGGAGAAUAAGGGUUCGGCUCCGGAGAGUUCGCCUGAGAAAUCGCGAACACAUCUAAGGAAGGCAGCAGGCGCGAAAAUUACCCACUCUCAGCACGAGGAGGUAGUGACGAAAAAUAACGAGACCGUUCUCUUAUGAGGCCGGUCAUCGGAAUGGGUACAAUUUAAACCCUUUAACGAGUAUCUAUGAGAGGGCAAGUCUGGUGCCAGCAGCCGCGGUAAUUCCAGCU
RNAcentral lists this ribosomal RNA (506 nucleotides) under Cervidellus vexilliger. RNAcentral's name for it is "SSU rRNA". It matches the Rfam family "Eukaryotic small subunit ribosomal RNA", at positions 87 to 590 of the family's 1831-position model. Lineage: Eukaryota; Metazoa; Nematoda; Chromadorea; Rhabditida; Cephalobidae. The record is from RNAcentral.